UCGGGAAUUUUGGGCAAUGGGCGAAAGCCUGACCCAGCAACGCCGCGUGAAGGAUGAAGUAUUUCGGUAUGUAAACUUCGAAAGAAUAGGAAGAAUAAAUGACGGUACUAUUUAUAAGGUCCGGCUAACUACGUGCCAGCAGCCGCGGUAAUACGUAGGGACCAAGCGUUGUUCGGAUUUACUGGGCGUAAAGGGCGCGUAGGCGGCAAUUCAAGUCAUCUGUGAAAUCUCCGGGCUUAACUCGGAACGGUCAGAUGAUACUGCUUUGCUAGAGUGCAGAAGGGGCAAUCGGAAUUCUUGGUGUAGCGGUGAAAUGCGUAGAUAUCAAGAGGAACACCUGAGGUGAAGACGGGUUGCUGGGCUGUAACUGACGCUGAGGCGCGAAAGCAUGGGGAGCAAACAGGAUUAGAUACCCGCGUAGUCCCUGAGCGGGCUGGCAAGGCGCAU
RNAcentral lists this ribosomal RNA (447 nucleotides) under uncultured bacterium. RNAcentral describes it as "bacterial SSU rRNA". It matches the Rfam family "Bacterial small subunit ribosomal RNA", at positions 355 to 825 of the family's 1533-position model. The record is from RNAcentral.